GGCAGGGCGGGUGCGAUGAUUCCCGUGCGGCUGCAGGGGGCGCUGUGGUGCGAGCUCGGCCGCCUCUCCACAAUGGCCAAGACGGGCUGCAGCAGGAACCGUGGAGCGGCAGCUGGAGCUGCAGGGAUGAGCAAACUCCACAGUAGCAAAUGAAAUGUAGCAGAAACUCCACAGGAGCUGAGGAGCGUCCAGGCAGGCAGGGGUGCUGGGUUACAGUUGUCUGGAAAAUUAAUCCACAAACACCAGAGGUUUAUGUCCAAAAAGGAGACAGAGGAGUCCUUCUACUUUAUUUGAAUAAAGGGAGAGGCCAUGGAGCAUUCCCCUGGGGUCUCUCAAAUUUUUGGAGGGCGCAGACUCCUUUUUAUCCUAAUUCCCGACUGUAUGUCCCUUCUCUCUUUCCCCAUAGGCUGAGGGACUUGAGAGGUACAGACUUCCCAGAACGCCUGAUACCUGAGACCCGCCCCCCCCUUCCCCAAUGCAUAACCCUCUUCUUAAUUCUGAACUCUUGUGGAAUUCGUAGUGUUUCCUCAGUGUCUUUUUCAUCCUUCAGUAACAUCCAUCCCAUUGUUUCUGUUAUCUCUCAGUGAUAGUUUUAUCUUAUCAGCAGACCCACAGCCUGUUUGUAAAUACAGCCGUCAUUCCUCUCAGUGUAGUGAAAACCCGGAGCAGUGGCAGAGAAGCGGCGGCGCUGGGCAGUAGCUGCCUGGCUCCGGAGCACCACUUGGAGAGGCUCCCUUGGAAGCAGAGGGGUCUUGGGGAUCCCGGGGUUUCCUCUGAGGCACCCGAGUAGAUGGUGAGGGUCCUUUGUUUGGUGAGGCAGGUGUUAAUAAGGUCUAAUGCAUCGGCUGCCCUCAGGAGCGGAGUUUCACUCACGGUAGGAGGCAGCAGGAGACAGCAUCCCGCAGUGGUGGCAAAUUCUCCCCACAGUGACCGCAGCCUGCCUCUGAUGUCGAUAGCGAGAGAGAGCUAAUGUCCCUUCCUGCUAGACCAGAUCUCUCUGCCCUUCCCAAGGGAAUGCCCCUCAGCUGCCGUAGCAGCCACCUGCACUCAUCCCCUUCUCUUUGGCCAUAUCCUUUGUAUCGGUCGCUAUUGUCUCUUAGCAAUAAAUGGGAGAAAACUCCCUGAGAGAAAAAAAAGGAAAAAUCCUAACCGCCAACAACAACAAAAGACAGCAGAAAGAAGUGUAAUAAUUGAACCUCGUAACUUAACUUACUGAUGGGAUCACAAUUCCAUGAGCAUGGCUCCAGGGAAAUCCAGCCUGCACAGGUGUGCAAAGCUGGGUGUCCCAGACAAUUGUGUGUGCCAAGGGAAGGAUGUGAGUACUAAAGCCAUGCAGAGUGGAAGGAGUUGGGGAGGACAAGGUGUCAGACAAACCAAAAAGGUGCAAAAGGAGCUGGUCAUGGGUAAAGUGGAACUGGUCAGUGAGCUUGGCCAAGGCAGCCAAGCUCUAGGCAGGGGUUUCAGGCAGGUAGAGGGUUCACACAGGUGUCUGCAAAACCACCUGGCAGCAGCUGCCCUUGCAUCCUGCUUUAUUUGUGCUCAGCUGGUGCCUUCCAGAGUGAUGUGACAAAGAAGAGUGGAAUGCCUUGUGUUCCCUGGGACUGGGAAUAAGGCCAUCAUCCCUCAACACAUGAAGAGUUGCCUGGAGAACAGAGAAGUGGUGAGAUACAAAGCCCAGCACAUGCUGUUCCCCAUUUACCAGUUGAGCAGUCAAGGUGGCACAUGCCCUGCAAACAUCUCCACUAUGAACCCAUGGACAGCAGGACAAAACUGGGCAAACAGCCAGGAUAGGAGCCAGACCUCCCCUUUUCACAGAAUGCAGCCUUGACAUGCAGAGCAUGGGCCACUGCUCUGCAUCUGGUGUCCCCAGGUGCCAUCCCAAAGAGCUGGAGAUGCCUGUGGUGCCGUGGCCCAGGAGGUCUCUGAGUGUCCUGCACAGGGAGAUACAGACUCCUCCAGCACUCAGGGGCUCUUAUCACCCACCUGCAGCUGGGCCAAGGGAGCAGAGAUGCAGUAGACCCUAUGAUGUAAACAGGACUGGGCACUGCAGAAACAGGAGGAAUUGCCAAAUUGGAUGAUGUGUUGGAUGAGUUCCCAUGUGGGCUGGCAGCUUCAGGGCAUGGCAGGUCAUUGCCCAGAGGAGGGGAGGUGGAAGCGCAGUGGGGUGGUACCCAGACAGACUCCCAGCUCUGUUCUCCAGGCCAUCCAGCCCUCUGGACUGUGCCCUGCUCACACAAACAAACUGGAAAUACUGGGCAAGCUCAGUCCAGCCCUGAGCAGAUGAGGGGAUCAGAGGAGUGGCGAGCAGACUGAAGACCUUCCAAACCAUCCCAAACCUGCUUUCCUGGAGCCAACCUGCAGGCUGAACAGGUGAGUACUGUCUGUCUAAAAAGUGCUGAAUGCUGUGACCCUUCCAUCAUUCCUUCUCUGCUUUAUCAUCUUCAGGCAGCCCUUGAGUCUUGCAAUUCCCACUUUCAGAAGUGAAUCCUGUUUCCUCUCCUGUUGAUUGACUGUGGUGUGCUGGAUUGAUGUGCUGGCAUCCAGGAUGGAAAGAGUAGAAAGUGAGACCCUGAUUGAUGAGGUGGAGGACAUGAGUGGAAGAGCACCAGAGACACCCCAGCUCAGGUCCAGGUGGCUGUACUGCAGGUGUGCACCCACCUACUCAGGUGCCUCCUCCUCCAGGAAACUGAGGUCCUCUUGGCCAGGAUGUGUGCAGGCCCCUGGGGCAAUGACAGGAUUGG
RNA transcript from Poecile atricapillus (Black-capped chickadee), 2741 nucleotides. It is a transcript of the gene named thaicobrin-like, with no coding region annotated. The transcript has 3 exons. Lineage: Eukaryota; Metazoa; Chordata; Aves; Passeriformes; Paridae. The record is from RefSeq and is a predicted model, not a curated record.